This is a long non-coding RNA of Cucumis melo (muskmelon), 211 nucleotides long. RefSeq lists it as uncharacterized. Lineage: Eukaryota; Viridiplantae; Streptophyta; Magnoliopsida; Cucurbitales; Cucurbitaceae. The record is from RefSeq and is a predicted model, not a curated record. The transcript has 3 exons.
GGGAAUCUAUGUUGCUGGUUUGCGAGAAGAGAUUGUUGCUUCUUCUGAGCAAGUUCUCGAUCUUAUGGAAUUUGGAGAAUCUCAUCGUCAUAUUGGAGAGACAAAUAUGAAUUUGUACAGUAGUAGAUCCCACACUAUUUUCCGCAUGAUAAUUGAGAGUCGGGAUAAAGUUGAAGAUGGAGAAGCUGGAAAUUCUUGUGAUGCUGUUCGU